GAAGAAGGAGCUCUGUCUGUACUACAGCAGUUCAAGGAAAGUGACUUAUCACAUGUUCAGAACAAAAGUGCAUUUUUAUGUGGAGUUAUGAAGACCUACAGGCAGAGAGAGAAACAGGGGAGCAAGGUGCAAGAGUCCACAAAGGGACCUGAUGAAGCGAAGAUCAAGGUAUUUGUAGGCAAAAUACCAAGGGAUUUAUAUGAGGAUGAGUUGGUGCCCCUUUUUGAGAAGGCCGGACCCAUUUGGGAUCUACGUCUUAUGAUGGAUCCACUGUCCGGUCAGAAUAGAGGGUAUGCAUUUAUCACCUUCUGUGGAAAGGAAGCUGCACAGGAAGCCGUGAAACUGUGUGACAGCUAUGAAAUUCGCCCUGGUAAACACCUUGGAGUGUGCAUUUCUGUGGCAAACAACAGACUUUUUGUUGGAUCCAUUCCGAAGAAUAAGACUAAAGAAAACAUUUUGGAAGAAUUCAGUAAAGUCACAGAGGGUUUGGUGGACGUUAUUCUCUAUCAUCAACCCGAUGACAAAAAGAAGAAUCGGGGGUUCUGCUUCCUUGAAUAUGAGGAUCACAAGUCAGCAGCACAAGCCAGACGCCGGCUGAUGAGUGGAAAAGUAAAAGUGUGGGGAAAUGUAGUUACAGUUGAAUGGGCUGACCCUGUGGAAGAACCAGAUCCAGAAGUCAUGGCUAAGGUAAAAGUUUUGUUUGUGAGAAACUUGGCUACUACAGUGACAGAAGAAAUAUUGGAAAAGUCAUUUUCUGAAUUUGGAAAACUCGAAAGAGUAAAGAAGUUGAAAGAUUAUGCAUUUGUUCAUUUUGAAGACAGAGGAGCAGCUGUUAAG
This 837-nucleotide small RNA is filed under the name Pan troglodytes (chimpanzee). RNAcentral's name for it is "processed transcript". The record is from RNAcentral. Lineage: Eukaryota; Metazoa; Chordata; Mammalia; Primates; Hominidae.